Long non-coding RNA from Spinacia oleracea (spinach), 694 nucleotides. RefSeq lists it as uncharacterized. NCBI's taxonomy places the organism in Eukaryota, Viridiplantae, Streptophyta, Magnoliopsida, Caryophyllales, Amaranthaceae. The record is from RefSeq and is a predicted model, not a curated record. The transcript has 3 exons.
UGUUGCACGUGUUUGUGAGGCAGCAAUGCAACUGAAUUUUUGGGCAAAAAAUCCCGCCUAACUCUCUGUUUUUUUCGCAGAAUCCCGCCUAACUCUCAACCCACCUCCCACGUUUCUCUCAACCUCCUCCCACCGACAUACCUUGCUGCGUUACGAAACUAACCACCCUCGUCAGAUUUCCGAUGAAUUCGUCUCUCUCCUCCUCACCUUCAGCACCGGCCAUUAACGAAUUCCUUGAAUUCCGUCUUCAACCUUUACGUUAGCAAAGUCAAAUCUCCCAGUAUAAGCUAUCUCACUCCUCAUCCUAUAAAUUCAUGAAAAAUCCCAAUUAUUGAAUUCACAAUUCGCCCAACAAAUUCAAGAUAAAUUCGUUGCUCUCUCUGGUUUUUAAUUGGAGAAAUUCAAGCAUACUCUUGUUUCUUAAUUGCUGCUUCAUCCUCGGUGUUGCCGGAUAUAUUCGCCAGAUAGUUGGUAAUUUGGACGAUAGUUGGAAAGUGGUGAACGUCUGACUUCUUCUUCCGUGUUGUUACUACUGUAGGUUUCGCCGACCACACCGGUUCAAGGUUUCCUGUGAUUCUUUAGCGUUGUUCGUAGGUUCGUGCAUCAAUUCGUGCGUUGCUACACCGGUUCAAGGUUUCCUGCAAGUCUUUAGCGUUGUUCGUAGGUUCGUGCAUCGGUUCGUGCGUUGCAUAUG